ACGCUCGACACCUACAGGAGGCAGCAGUGGGGAAUAUUGCACAAUGGGGGAAACCCUGAUGCAGCGACGCCGCGUGGAGGAAGAAGGUCUUCGGAUUGUAAACUCCUGUUGUUGGGGAAAAAGAGGAUGGUACCCAACAAGGAAGUGACGGCUAACUACGUCNCNNGCGCGGAGUAUGNGNGGCGNGNGAGAG
RNAcentral lists this ribosomal RNA (193 nucleotides) under uncultured bacterium. RNAcentral describes it as "partial 16S ribosomal RNA". The stretch from base 1 to 169 matches the Rfam family "Bacterial small subunit ribosomal RNA", at positions 328 to 540 of the family's 1533-position model. The record is from RNAcentral.